UUUUUUUUUUAAAGAGAGAUUCCCAUUUCAGACUAGUUUUAUGCUUAUUGGCAGAUUGCAAAGAUCAUUCAGGAGGCCCUAUAAACCCCACUUCCCUUACAUUUUGUCUAAUGAUUUCCAGUUGCAUAUGAACCUGGAUCCUCUGCAAGAUCAGCAAAUGCUCUUGACUGCUGAACCAUUUUCUCUAGCCCUGAUAAGCGUUAUUUUUUUUUUUUAAUCUAUCCAAUUUUAUAAUGGGCAGAGAUUUGAGCAAAUACUUUAGCAUAGGAAGUAAACAGAUGGCAGAUAGCUAGGCAUGGUAGUCUAUGCCUGUUACCCUAGCACUUGAGAAGCUGAGGGAGGAAGAUUAGCAUAAAUUGGCUGGGCGUGGUGGCGCACAGCUUUAAUCCCAGCACUCGGGAGGCAGAGGCAGGCGGAUUUCUGAGUUCGAGCCAGCCUGGUCUACAAAGUGAGUUCCAAGACAGCCAAGGCUACACAGAGAAACCCUGUCUUGAAAAAAACAAAAAACAAACAAACAAAAAAAACCCAACCCAAACAAACCAAAAAAAAAAACCCACCCCAAAUUACUGUCCCCAAAAGAUAUAUAGACUACAAAUAAGACAAAGUAGAAUAUCCAAGAUUAGAUGUAAUUAAUUCAAAUACCGACUAAAACCAAUGAGAUACCACUCACCCUCAUUAAGAUAAAUUAAAACAUACUAACAAAGAAGAUAUGGAAGAACUCUGUUCCUUGGGAAUGAAAGAAUCAUGCAAACAUUUUUUAAAAGGUCUAAUUGUUUAGCAGAGUCUUAAGCAUGGCCACCAUAUGCUCAAUCUACCCAAUGCCAGGUAGUUGUUCCAAAGAAAAGACAGUACUAAUCCAAAGACAGGGAGAGGGAUCAACCCUGGAACAUCCCCACAGUGGAAAAUUACUUAGUAACACAGACGAAUGAGCUAGCGGGCCCCAUGCAACAAUAUAUAACUAUGCUGAGUGGGAGGAUUCUGACAAAGGACUACAUAUUGUUGUAGGAUUCCAUUUCUGCUCUAGAAAAUGAUGGAAACACCAAUGUCUGCUUGGUGGACACUGGAAUGGACUACACUGGAGAGACAGAGGGCCAUUCUGGGGGAUUGUGCUGAUGGUCUCAGGGGCCUUUGUAUGCUUCAAAAAAUGGCAAAUUUUCUGCUAUAGGCAAUCUGUGUGUCAACAAGUUACGGCUUACUAAUGAUACUUUAAUAAUCUUCUGUUUGUGUGUUUGCUUUGUUUGCAGAGACAAGAUGUCAUGUACCCAGACCUCAAGAUGUCUGUAUAGCAGAGCAUGGCCCUAAACUUCUGAUUCCCCCCACCUCUGUCUUCCUUAGUGCUGGGAUUACAGGUAUGUACUGCCAUACUCUGUUUAUGUGUGGUUGGGAAUCAACAUAGUACCAUGUGUGUGCUAGGCAAGCAAUCUACUGAGUUAUAUACCCAGCUGUGAAGUAUGUGUGUGUGCACUCAUGCACAUUUGUGCAUGUGAGCACACCUUAGCUGUCUCUUUUAUCAUAAUCCUUAAGUUUUUUGAGGCAUGGUCUCUUUUAGAGCUCUGAUAAUGUGAUCGACAAUCUUGUGCUACUUAUAUGACAUGGUCUCUCACUGAACCUGGACCUCACUUUUGUACUAGGCUAGUGAUUAGCAAGCUCCAAGUAUCUUCCUGUCUCUGUCUCUGCCUCUCCAGCAUCCGUGUGGACCAUGCCUGGCUCUUUUUAAUGUGGGUGUAGAGAUACAUCCUUAUCCUUCCCCAGCAAGCCCAUAUCCAUCCACUGAGCCGUUUCCAUAGCCCUCCAAGCUCAUCCCCAGCAAGCCCAUAUCCAUCCACUGAGCCGUUUCCAUAGCCCUCUAAAGCCCUUUUUUUUUUUUUUACUUUUAAUGAUUGAAUUUGUUUUUGUCUAUGUAUAUGUAUGAAUGCACAUAUGAGUAUGGAUGGCCAUAGAGGCCAGAAGAGGAUUUCAUGGAGCUGAAAUUACAGUUGGAAUUCUGUGAGUCACCCAGUGUGGCUGUGGGAAUCAAAUGCCUGCCCUCUGGAAGAUUACCACUUAGCUAUCUCUCCGGGUCCACCCCUCAAAGCUUUUAAAAUGAUAAUAUGAAAAUUCUUCACUGAACCAUUGCCAAGAAAUUUUAUUGCAAAAUUCCUUUUUAUCAAAGUAAGAUAAGACGGUGCCAAAAGCUGCAAACCAAAGGGAGCCAGCUGCUCCAGGGAGGGGGGCUUUCUGUCUAUGAGCCUUCUGCAGAGGGAUGGGCUCGGCUGGAUGGAGAGUGUGCGGCACUUGGCAGAGCACACAGGUACCAUCCAUCUCUUAGCUGUGCGGCCCUGUUCUCCCAGGGCUUCCUAGGAGCCUGAUGUCCUAUUGUACAGUGUGCUCUGAGUUCUGCAGUAUCACCACUAGGGAUAGCGUGUGCUUAGCAGUCGAAAGCCCUCGGCCUCUAUAUGCUUGGGCUUGAUAUGUGGAACUUAGCAACCCUGAAAUCUGCAUCUGCAGGGCAGGUCCACAUAAAAUUAACCUCUCUCUGCAUGUGUGUAUCUCUGUGUAUCUGUGCGUGUUGUGUUGUGUUUUGUUUUGUUUUGUUUUGUUUUGUUUUGUUUUGUUUUGUGAUGAGAGUCUUGCUAUCAAUCCUGGCUUGUCUAGAACUCACUAUGUAGCCCAGACUGGCCUUGAAUCUGUCAGUCUUCUACCCCUCAGCUUCCCAAAUGUUAGAAUUCAUUCUCUAGGUACUUUUAGUCCACCAAGUCAGAUAUACAAUAUAUAAGCAAAUGUUUUUUUUUCUUUUUCGUGUGUGUGUGUGUGUGUGUGUGUGUGUGUGUGUGUAUACUUGUGGAGGUCAGAGGACAGCCUUAAGGGCCAUUCUUCCUCAAGUGCUGUCUAGCUUGUUUUUUACAACAGUCUCUGCUUGGCCUGGGGUAUGCCAAGAAGACUGGGCUGAAAGGCUGGGGAAUCAGCCAGCUUCCUGCCUCACCUUCCUAGUGCUGGAAUUACAAGCACAUGAUCCUACGCCUUGCUUUGUUUUAUAUGUCGGUCUUGGGGAACUGAACUCAAGUCCUUGUGCCUGGACAACCUAUUGGAGAGUAGAAGUCCACCACUCUUCUUGGCACCUUCUUCAGGGUAACUUCUAAGCUGAGGAGGCUUUAUGUAGAACCUUGGGUGUGGGUGUGUGUGCAAAUAAUGGGAAUUUUCUUAGCCUGGGCUACAUGGAGAUCUGGGGGCUAGCCUGGUCUACAAAGACAGGCCCCGUCUCAAACAAAUGAUAAGUUGCUUAACUCAAAGCGUUGUUGUAAAGAUUAAAUGUGUAGGUUCUUAGAGUAAGAGCCCAGUGAGUCUCUACUGAGUGAUAUUAUCGUGUGGAGUUGGGACAGUGCUUAUCCACUGUCCCCAGGAAAGCGGCCACUUGCCUCUCUGAUCAUUUCUCUUCAAGGGAAGAGCUGGAGAGGACUGGCUCGAAGGUCCAUCAGGGAAUCUCCUUGUUGCAGGCUCUAUCAGUGAUAAGAGCACAUGUAAAGGCAUCAAGUUUAGCCCCUCACAGGACAUAUUCUUCUAAAAAGCACUCCCUGUGGCAAUGGUGGCAUACGUCACUAACCCCGUGGCUGAAGUUCAAGGUCACACUGGGCUAUGCAGUGAGACUACACCCCAAAUCACAACAAAGUACUUUGACCAGACACUCAAAACCUAAAGCUAACCUUUGUGGUUUCUGGGGAUGUUAUCUGCUUGUUAAGUCCCAGACAUGGACACCCCAAGAAACACUGUGGGACCUGCAGGUUGCGGAGAAACAUGGGCUCAUUCAUGAAAUGAUCCCCAAAGCUAACUUCCUCUGGUUCACCAGGAGCCAUGUAAGGCACUGGCUGCCCACAGUGCUGACCCCGAGGCAGGACUGUGUUCUUUUAUGCUUCUGUUUUGAGAUAGCUUCUCUCUGUGUUCUCUAGGCUGGUCUCACUCCAGCACGUGAUUCUCCCAGGACAGCUGUAUUCUGCUGCUCUGCAAGAGAUCCAGCCUGCUGGGUCUGAGUCCCCCAUCACAUGCUCAGGAGUGUUCAGCAGGUAAAGGCCCUCACCACCAAACCUGAUGUGGGCGGAGAGAACCAGUUCCUGUGAGGUAACCUCUGGCCUCCACUCGAAAGCUCCAGGUGGGCACAUUCCCCUCCCCCAGCAAGAUAAAUAAAUGUAUGAGUGGUAAAACACUGAUUGACUGAAAGUGAAUAAGGGAGACAGGAGGGCGUCUGGGAAAGAGAGUGGGUCUGUUCUGCCUAAGCCAGGCGCUAAUCCACAGCAGGGUAUUGUUUAUCUGUCUUCAGGAAUCUGGAAAUGUAACUAGGAACAUCAGAAAAACCUCUCAGUAGAGCAGAGUCGACUGAGAGGUUGACAGCAAACUGGGGAUCUGUGAUGGUGUUCAGGAGGCACAAGGGAAAGAGAAGCGCACAGAGGCAAGGACAGACCUCAAAGGAUGCAGAUGCCUCUGGAACCCUGUAGCUUGAGGUGAACCUGAGAUGAGGUUUUUCAUCUGGAAGUGUCCUGACAGGGACAGACUGUUUGAGGACACCUUAGCAGUUUUGCCCAGUUAUGGUGGCACACACACAGGAUCUCAGGAGAUAGAGGAAGGGAGAUCAGGAUUUCAACACUGUUCCCAGCUCCAUAGGGAGUUCCCAGGCAGUCUAUGUAUCUCAAGUCCAGGGCUGAGACUCAAACCCUGGUCUCUUUGAGCACUAGGAAGUCUACCACCUACCUUUUUUUUUCCUUAUUUUUUUAAAAGACUUAUUUAUUUAUUAUAUGUAAGUACACUGUAGCUGUUUUCAGACACACCAGAAGAGAGUGUCAGAUCUCGUUAUGGAUGGUUGUGAGCCACCAUGUGGUUGCUGGGAUUUGAACUCAGGACCUUAUGAAGAACAGUCAGUGCUCUUAACUUCUGAGCUAUCUCUCCAGCCCUACACCUCCAGCUCUAAGUGGGUCAGACCUCCUGAGGCAUCUCCAGUGGCUGGGGGAGGCCUGGUCUGGAGGCAAAGACCAUCAAGCAGCUAUCCUGAGGGUGGCCUCGGAGAUGGAAAAGAAUAGACCGCUGAUAUUUUUCCUUGCCUGUGCGAACCCCGCGAUGCCACAUCAUAUACCCCUACAUCCAUUGCUUCUGGGCCCCAUUGAGACCAGUUCCGCCCGUUUGUACAAGUGAUUAUUAACUCCACGCCAGCCUCAGGAGUCUUUUCAAUAUUUUGUGGUCUUGCUUCUGUUUUUCUUCUGCCAAGGACUGCUCACUCCAUGGAAAUCUUGGUUAACCGUAAGAUCUUGCCAGAGAAAGCGAAUGCCUUCGGGCGAACACACCCAGGAAAGCUGGUCUCUCUCCUACGUGGCUAGGAGCCUCCAGGAAGAGGGCUCCCUUGUUGUGAUUGAAUAGUAUCGAAGCUGUUUUGUGUCUAGUUGUUAACAUGUGUCUGCUUGCUUUCACCUAACAUUCCAGCGCUGAGAAAGGCCCAAGUCCCAUCAGUCUUGGCAGAAUCUGUUCAAGAUGCUUUCCUCAUUUAGUAGUGAGAAAGGGUUGGGUGGAGGCCAAGGUCACUGGGAGACUCUCCCCUGGUGCUUGAGAGAGCUUCCUGCCAAGAUUUCCUAUCCCCUUUGGUGGCAGAUUUGCUGUGGGAACAACCUCACCAUCUGUACGGAGCCUGCAGAUAGAAAACACACAGGACAUGUGGGCCUCCCUGCCCCAGGCCUGCACGAGCUGUAAUCGACACCCCUGUUGCCUGCUCUUGGGAAACAGGAAGUCUGAAGGAGUGCUUGUGGUUCCACUGGGCAUUUCAGCAGCUCCGGGACAGAACCACUUAAACAGUCAAAUGCAGCUCCCAGGUGCAGAGCAAAGUGGCAAUCGGCAAUAGCUGCUUGCAGGAACCAUUUAGUACAUAGCGAUUUCAAAAAAAAAAAA
Mus musculus (house mouse) is the source of this 5901-nucleotide long non-coding RNA. RefSeq annotates it as predicted gene, 49958. The record is from RefSeq and is a predicted model, not a curated record. The transcript is spliced from 2 exons. NCBI's taxonomy places the organism in Eukaryota, Metazoa, Chordata, Mammalia, Rodentia, Muridae.